Molecule: ribosomal RNA, 470 nt
Filed under: uncultured bacterium
Lineage: Bacteria
Description: bacterial SSU rRNA
Rfam family: Bacterial small subunit ribosomal RNA
Source: RNAcentral
GACGAACGCUGGCGGCGCGCUUAACACAUGCAAGUCGAACGGACGUAGAAAUACGUUAGUGGCGGACGGGUGAGUAACGCGUGAGCAAUCUGCCUCUAUCAUCGGGAUAACACACGGAAACGAGUGCUAAUACCGAAUAAGACCACAUACCGGCAUCGGAGAGGGGUCAAAGAUUUUAUCGGAUAGAGAUGAGCUCGCGUCCCAUUAGCUAGUUGGUAGGGUAACGGCUUACCAAGGCGACGAUGGGUAGCCGACCUGAGAGGGUGAUCGGCCACACUGGAACUGAGAUACGGUCCAGACUCCUACGGGAGGCAGCAGUGGGGAAUAUUGGGCAAUGGAGGCAACUCUGACCCAGCAACGCCGCGUGAAGGAUGAAGGUUUUCGGAUUGUAAACUUCUGUCGCGAGGGACGAAGAAUGACGGUACCUCGUAAGAAAGCCCGGCUAACUACGUGCCAGCAGCCGCCGUAAG